This 466-nucleotide long non-coding RNA is filed under the name Rosa chinensis. RNAcentral describes it as "sRNA RchiOBHm_Chr2g0159101". The record is from RNAcentral. Lineage: Eukaryota; Viridiplantae; Streptophyta; Magnoliopsida; Rosales; Rosaceae.
GCAAUACUACUCCACGACUCUAGUCUCCUCUGUUUGUGGGUGUAGGGUGCAGCAGACUGGCCUUCGUCUCUCUUCAGGUUCUCGCUUCUCCCAACACAAAGUUGCAGACCCAUUAUUCAUCGCAAACCAAUCUCUCUUCCUCUCGCUUUGAAGCUUCUUCUUCUCUGCUUCACGUUUGUUCUCUUCCCGAAGAUUCUCCGAUUCGUUUUCCAUUUCUGUCUUCAGUGUCUAGAAGUUUAUGGUUUUCUGAAUUUGAUGAUCUGCUGGAGUAACGUGAUAACAGAGCACAGCCAAACCAUUUUGAACUCUUUGCACUCAUUUUUACUGGGACUUGACUAGAGAUUGGGAGUUGAGGAGCAUGAAGAUUAAUUAUGUAGUCAGCUCCUAUCUUGAUCCCCUUACCGUUAAGGUAUACUGAUUGGGGACAUGUUCAAGGACAGUCACCAUAUGCCUCUGGUUCUCCAUC